Molecule: long non-coding RNA, 682 nt
Organism: Cucurbita pepo subsp. pepo (vegetable marrow)
Lineage: Eukaryota; Viridiplantae; Streptophyta; Magnoliopsida; Cucurbitales; Cucurbitaceae
Source: RefSeq, a predicted model, not a curated record
CAUCCAACCACAUGAAAUUCGAGUUUCGCAAUCAAACCCUAAACCCUUCUUCUUCUUCUUCAUGUGAGUCUCUAAUGAACAAAACCCAGUUCCCACCAUCUUUCCUGUGAUUCGCUUCAAUAUGAGCUGCCCUUUAUAUGCCCUUUUGCUUCAUCCUCUCAAUUUCACCAAUUUUCUAACCAAAAUUGAAAGAAACAAUGACACCCACAAAGGCUUCAAUUCUGGUCGUCGCUGUUCUUCUCAUUGUCAUCCUUCAAGUUCCCACAGCCAUGCCCGCCAGACACCUCCCGUCUCAUAAUAGUCCAAAGCGAGUGAGGGGCGAGACGGUGGAAGUUGCAGGGUCGAGGUUACCAGAUUGUUCUCACGCUUGUGGGUCGUGCGCGCCAUGCAGGCUUGUGAUGGUUAGAUACUUUUGUUCUUCGGUUGAAGACUCGGAGACUUGUCCCUUGGCUUACAAGUGCAUGUGCAGCCACAAGUCCUUCCCUGUUCCUUGAUUGUAUCAGAUUUGUAGCUAUCUUUGGGCUGUGUGUAUCAUAUAUAAUAAUGCCUUUUCUCUCUAUCAUAGCUUCAUUUUAGGAUCGGUCUUGGGUUGUCUUCUUGUUAUUAUCAGCCAUCUUGUAAGAGUUCUUUUAGUACUAGAAAUGCAUGUUUUCUUGGUUACAUAUGUAACAUCAAUUUAUCU